RNAcentral lists this ribosomal RNA (671 nucleotides) under Dothiora ribesia. RNAcentral's name for it is "SSU rRNA". It matches the Rfam family "Eukaryotic small subunit ribosomal RNA", at positions 73 to 758 of the family's 1831-position model. The record is from RNAcentral. Lineage: Eukaryota; Fungi; Ascomycota; Dothideomycetes; Dothideales; Dothioraceae.
ACUAUACGGUGAACUGCGAAUGGCUCAUUAAAUCAGUUAUCGUUUAUUUGAUAGUACCUUACUACUUGGAUAACCGUGGUAAUUCUAGAGCUAAUACAUGCUAAAAACCCCGACUUCGGAAGGGGUGUAUUUAUUAGAUAAAAAACCAGCGCCCUUCGGGGCUCCUUGGUGAUUCAUAAUAACUUAACGAAUCGCAUGGCCUUGCGCCGGCGAUGGUUCAUUCAAAUUUCUGCCCUAUCAACUUUCGAUGGUAGGAUAGUGGCCUACCAUGGUAUCAACGGGUAACGGGGAAUUAGGGUUCUAUUCCGGAGAGGGAGCCUGAGAAACGGCUACCACAUCCAAGGAAGGCAGCAGGCGCGCAAAUUACCCAAUCCCGACACGGGGAGGUAGUGACAAUAAAUACUGAUACAGGGCUCUUUAGGGUCUUGUAAUUGGAAUGAGUACAAUUUAAAUCCCUUAACGAGGAACAAUUGGAGGGCAAGUCUGGUGCCAGCAGCCGCGGUAAUUCCAGCUCCAAUAGCGUAUAUUAAAGUUGUUGCAGUUAAAAAGCUCGUAGUUGAACCUUGGGCCUGGCUGGCCGGUCCGCCUCACCGCGUGUACUGGUCCGGCCGGGCCUUUCCUUCUGGGGAGCCGUAUGCCCUUCACUGGGCGUAUUGGGGAACCAGGACUUU